UAGUGACACAGCUCUUUUAGAAUUUGUCUAGUAGGUUUUCUGGUUUUUGCUGGGAAGCCCUC
This 62-nucleotide small nuclear RNA is filed under the name Vombatus ursinus (common wombat). Its description in RNAcentral is "U7 small nuclear RNA (ENSVURG00010008357.1)". It matches the Rfam family "U7 small nuclear RNA". Rfam says of the family: Animal histone pre-mRNAs are spliced by a different mechanism than nuclear pre-mRNAs and self-splicing introns. This processing involves the U7 snRNP, which contains only one RNA species: U7. The record is from Rfam by way of RNAcentral. Lineage: Eukaryota; Metazoa; Chordata; Mammalia; Diprotodontia; Vombatidae.